GGGGAGGGGAAGAAGAGUUGAUUGAGUCUGUGAGAAGCUGCCACAGGGAGGUUACAGUCAGGAGAGCCAAGAGCUGCUUUACACGCGGUAUAAAAACUUCAGUUAAGAUUUGAGCUGUCACUUGAGAAAGCAUCAUGCCAAAAACUAAGGAAAUCACUGUAGACUUGAAGAAUUGUCGAUGCUCAGGAAGCAGGAGAAGGAUAUACAAAGUUAUAACAGUAUUUCCAAGCGUCAAGAACUCAAAUGAGAAACGUCACCGAGAAAUUCAAGGAGAGCCACACUGUGCAGAACAAGCCUGGCAGAGGUAGGAAGCCAAAGAUUUCAAUGACCCUGGAAAGAAAACCAGUGAGAGACCUGUCUAAAGAACCCAUAAACGCUGCCAAGACACUAGUGAAUGACUUAGUUAAGUCUGAAAUUGUAGCCUCAAAGAAGAUUACAUGAAUUCAUGUAAUCUUACCAUAUGUCUCCCCUUGACCAAAGCUGAGCGUGGAUUGAUGCUGUCUUUACA
Lates calcarifer (barramundi perch) is the source of this 508-nucleotide long non-coding RNA. RefSeq lists it as uncharacterized. The record is from RefSeq and is a predicted model, not a curated record. The transcript has 3 exons. NCBI's taxonomy places the organism in Eukaryota, Metazoa, Chordata, Actinopteri, Centropomidae.